This 253-nucleotide ribosomal RNA is filed under the name uncultured bacterium. RNAcentral describes it as "partial 16S ribosomal RNA". It matches the Rfam family "Bacterial small subunit ribosomal RNA", at positions 524 to 776 of the family's 1533-position model. The record is from RNAcentral.
UACGUAGGGACCGAGCGUUGUCCGGAAUCAUUGGGCGUAAAGCGCACGUAGGCGGUCUGUUAUGUCGGAUGUGAAAGCCCUUGGCUUAACUGAGGAAGUGCAUCCGAAACUGGCAGGCUAGAGUACUAAAGAGGGUCGCGGAAUUCCCGGUGUAGAGGUGAAAUUCGUAGAUAUCGGGAGGAACACCGGUGGCGAAGGCGGCGACCUGAGUAGAUACUGACGCUGAGGUGCGAAAGCGUAAGGAGCAAACAGG